CAGCAGCCGCGGUAAUACCGGCGGCCCGAGUGGCGGUCACUAUUAUUGGGCUUAAAGCGUCCGUAGCCGGGUUGGGAAGUCCUCCGGGAAAUCUGGCCGCUUAACGGUCAGAAUGCCGGAGGAUACUCCCAGCCUAGGGAGCGGGAGAGGCCGAGGGGAUUCCCGGAGUAGGGGUGGAAUCCUAUAAUCCCGGGAGGACCACCUGUGGCGAAGGCGCUCGGCUGGAACGCGUCCGACGGUGAGGGACGAAGGCCAGGGGAGCAAACCGGAUUAGAUACCCGGGUAGUCCUGGCUGUAAACGAUGCGGACUUUGUGUCGGACAAGCUAUGAGCUUGUCCGGUGCCGGAGGGAAACCGUUAAGUCCGCCGCCUGGGGAGUACGGCCGCAAGGCUGAAACUUAAAGGAAUUGGCGGG
RNAcentral lists this ribosomal RNA (414 nucleotides) under uncultured microorganism. RNAcentral describes it as "bacterial SSU rRNA". It matches the Rfam family "Archaeal small subunit ribosomal RNA", at positions 459 to 872 of the family's 1478-position model. The record is from RNAcentral.